AUUCGUGGGCGACCUCACAGACGCCUCUAAUAGAUUUUAUUGUAUCUGUUCUCAAACAAACCACACUCAUUGCAAUUAGAACGUGGCCGAGACGAGACGAUCCGAAAAUCAGAGCAAAACCAAGAUGGAUAAACAGCUACUCUGGCUUUGUAUCCUGGCCUGCCUUCUGUUCCAGGCCUCUUCCAUACCCGUCUCGGAGAGCGAAGUUACUCGGGAGCGACGUUCGCCAUGUUCAUCUGGAGGCUGCAGUUUUCUGAAGAAAGUGAAGUUUUCGAGGCGUAAAAGACCAGGAAGACCAGGAAGAAGACGACCUAAUCGCUUCAGGGGUUCCAGAGAGUGGGGAUUACCAGACGAUGACUUGACUGAUAUCAUUGGAUAUAACGACCAGCAGAAAUCCAUCGAUAAUUAAUUUAGCUUAACAGUUUCAGAAUAUUCCACUCUCAUCUGAUAGCACUGUAGAAUAGAUCUCUGUGUACUAAUAUCAUAUUAUUCUGUAGCCUAAUUUCGCACUGUAAAGCAUGAGUUGUUCACUUCUUUUUAAAUAUAGAAGUCUUCGUUUUAUUAGAAGCUGAAUAAAAGUUGUAUCCUUAAUCAA
Long non-coding RNA from Pocillopora damicornis (cauliflower coral), 595 nucleotides. RefSeq lists it as uncharacterized. The record is from RefSeq and is a predicted model, not a curated record. NCBI's taxonomy places the organism in Eukaryota, Metazoa, Cnidaria, Anthozoa, Scleractinia, Pocilloporidae.